UCUACAGAAGCAAAGUCCAGAGAUGUCCAGAGAUGGGAGUGGGGGAGAGAGAGCCUCGUUGUGAUGUCACCUGAGCUCCUGGGUCCAGCUUGUUUCAUGAGCUGAGAGUUGCUGAAUUCCCAAGUGCUCUCCAUUCCUCUGAUGCUCCUGGACAGCCAAGGUGCUGACAAGCUUUGGCCAGUAGGCUGCUUUCUGGCAUCCAAGGUCACCUCAUUAUGGCACUGUGCGAAGACAGCACCCCAAAGGGGCCAUCGAUUUGGAACAUCUGAUCGGCUUUCUGAGUCAGAUCCACUAGCUCGUAAAAUCCAAUAAAUGUCAAAGAUAUGUCAGGCCCAUUAGCCUCUGGAGGUCUAUUAAAAGACUCUGCUUCUGCUAAGGAGAUUCUGUUACUGUCACAUGGACACCAGGGCAGCCAAUUCUAAACCCUUGAAUUUAGAAAGUUAGGAAGGAGAUACGAUUUCACAUGGGAUCGCCUGGUCUCUACUGGUUUUGUCAGAAGACUCUGCCCUUUCUUCCACUCAGACAUACAGAGCAUCUGUUGGCGUGACCAGCUCUGUGACAAGUAUGUGGGGGAAACAUUCUAGAACUUCUUUUCCUGCCUCCAAGAAAAUUAACCCAAACCCUCUUCAUAAUACUGCAUGAGCAUUUCUUCCUUACAGUCCCAUACAGCACUGAAGCAUUAUUGUUUG
Long non-coding RNA from Cebus imitator (Panamanian white-faced capuchin), 689 nucleotides. RefSeq lists it as uncharacterized. The record is from RefSeq and is a predicted model, not a curated record. The transcript is spliced from 3 exons. NCBI's taxonomy places the organism in Eukaryota, Metazoa, Chordata, Mammalia, Primates, Cebidae.